GAUGAAGAACGUAGCGAAAUGCGAUACUUGGUGUGAAUUGCAGAAUCCCGUGAACCAUCGAGUCUUUGAACGCAAGUUGCGCCCGAAGCCAUCAGGUUGAGGGCACGUCUGCCUGGGCGUCACAUAUCGUUGCCCAAUGCCUAUUGCAGUGCAAUAGGAAUUUCUAGGGCGAAUGAUGGCUUCCCGUGAGCGUUGUUGCCUCGCGGUUGGUUGAAAAUCGAGUCCUUGGUAGGGUGUGCCAUGGUAGAUGGUGGUCGAGUUAGAACGAUACCGAUCAUGUGCAUGCUCCCCAAAAUAUGGCCUCUAUGACCCACACGCGUCUUUUGACGCUCAUGACGAGACCUCAGGUCAGGCGGGGCUACCCGCUGAAUUUAAGCAUACAAUAAGCGGAGGA
This 394-nucleotide unclassified non-coding RNA is filed under the name soil metagenome. RNAcentral describes it as "partial contains 5.8S ribosomal RNA, internal transcribed spacer 2, and large subunit ribosomal RNA". The stretch from base 1 to 122 matches the Rfam family "5.8S ribosomal RNA", at positions 35 to 154 of the family's 154-position model. The record is from RNAcentral.